Molecule: long non-coding RNA, 382 nt
Organism: Rhincodon typus (whale shark)
Lineage: Eukaryota; Metazoa; Chordata; Chondrichthyes; Orectolobiformes; Rhincodontidae
Exons: 3
Source: RefSeq, a predicted model, not a curated record
AGCAGGCAAACAUUACAAUGUUCUGCUCAGUAACAAAACCUCCCUUUGCUCAAACCUAUUGAACUCUGGAAUAAAUCUAUCUCAAGGAGGAGCUCUGACUGUUACAAGGCUCCCCAGAGUCUGUAAAGAAAUUUUGAAGAAAAUACAACAGCUCAAAAUGUUCAGCCACAUUUCAACACUCUGCUCUUUUAAUUGGAAGUGAAAGCUCCAGGAAGCUGCGUUAAAGGUUUAUAAAAGCAAUGCUCCACUGAGAAGAGAUACUAAAUCAGCUGAGAACAAUUUUACAUGGAUCCUUACAUUUAUUGGAGUGGGAGAAAGAAAGAGAGAGAGUGCAAUUCUUCAUCCUAUUGCUCUGGCACCGAUUCAAACCAUGAUCCCAGAG